Molecule: ribosomal RNA, 424 nt
Filed under: uncultured bacterium
Lineage: Bacteria
Description: bacterial SSU rRNA
Rfam family: Bacterial small subunit ribosomal RNA
Source: RNAcentral
CGGGAAUUUUGGGCAAUGGGCGAGAGCCUGACCCAGCAACGCCGCGUGAGGGAUGAAGGCCUUCGGGUCGUAAACCUCUGUCGGGAGGGACGAAAGGCGCGCGGGUGAACAAUCCGCGUACUUGACGGUACCUCCAAAGGAGUCGCCGGCGAACUCCGUGCCAGCAGCCGCGGUAAUACGGAGGGUCCAAGCGUUGUCCGGAAUCACUGGGUGUAAAGGGUGUGUAGGCGGGCCUACAAGUCAGAGGUGAAAGCCCCCGGCCUAACCGGGGAACUGCCUUUGAGACUGUAGGUCUUGAGUCCUGGAGGGGUCACUAGAAUUCGUGGUGUAGCGGUGAAAUGCGUAGAUAUCACGAGGAAUACCAGAGGCGAAGGCGGGUGACUGGACAGGUACUGACGCUGAGGCACGAAAGCGUGGGGAGCAA